UCUGAUUUCUUUUCUUGUUUUUUGAGAUUUUUGGUGAGGGUAGAUGGAGUGGAGAAAGGAAGAGAGGUGGGAAAAGAGUGGUUGGGAAAGUGGGGAGGAGAAGGAGGAGAAGGGUGGAUUGAGUAUGCAAAGGUAGAGGCAUUGUAUGGAACUCCCAAAAGAGCUCUAA
RNAcentral lists this non-coding RNA (169 nucleotides) under Paramoeba aestuarina. The record is from RNAcentral. Lineage: Eukaryota; Discosea; Flabellinia; Dactylopodida; Paramoebidae.